RNAcentral lists this long non-coding RNA (350 nucleotides) under Helianthus annuus (common sunflower). RNAcentral describes it as "sRNA HanXRQr2_Chr08g0345221". The record is from RNAcentral. Lineage: Eukaryota; Viridiplantae; Streptophyta; Magnoliopsida; Asterales; Asteraceae.
UUGGCUUAGUCCCAAGUUAUAUUCCAUUUUUCAGGUUUUCGAAGUUAAACAAUUAAGGAUCCUUAAUCCUUAUUAUCCAUUAAAGUUUUACUUAUGGUUAUCCUGAUUAAAGGUUAGGAUCCUAACUUGGAUCCUCAGGUAUGAUCCUUAACUAUUUUUAAUUUCAUUAUUCAUUUGAAUAACCCUUAGACCUUGACAACUGAACCUAUGAUCCUUAAAAUAAGCUACUUUGAAAAUUUUCGAUUAUAGGAUAUUUGAUCCAGGAUCAUAUCCUAAAUCUCUUAAACAUAAUUUGCUCAAACAAACUUGUAUCAAAACAAUUGGAAAUAAAAAGGAUAACAACACAAGAU